Oxyura jamaicensis (ruddy duck) is the source of this 535-nucleotide long non-coding RNA. RefSeq lists it as uncharacterized. Lineage: Eukaryota; Metazoa; Chordata; Aves; Anseriformes; Anatidae. The record is from RefSeq and is a predicted model, not a curated record. The transcript has 2 exons.
CUUUCACUGUUUGCUGCAACCAGUGCCGUUCAGGACUGCUGCAUGCAGGCAGUAGCAGUACUUUCACAGUCUUGUACCAGGAGCAUAGUCAGAAUCUCACAAAAUAUGUUUAAGGAAGCAAAAUUGCGAGGCAGGAUACUCCUUGUUACGCUGGAUUCUGGAUCCCUUCCCAGCCUCCUGUAGAUUUUGGAAAGUCUCCCAUUCAGCUGCCAUGUGGAAGGCUUUGAACUUAAAAUGGGAACAGGCACAGCACACCCAGGGCUGGGGGUGGCUGGCAGUCCUCCCUCCCUCUUGCCCUUCCCUCCCCAGUGUGACCACCGCAAAUCCAUCCUAGAGCCCUGAGAGCUUGGGGAGAAGCCUUAGGAAAAUGUGUUCCAGUACUACAGUAAAGUGUCCUGCUUCAACAGGUGACACCAGGAUUUCUCUGUAAAAAAAUCACAAAUAGCUUCCCCUUCAAGAAAUGGACAUUUUGGUGGAGAAAAUGACACCUGUGCAUCAGCUCCCCUCUGAUUAUAAAUGUGUCUUAAGUCAGAAG